RNAcentral lists this ribosomal RNA (440 nucleotides) under uncultured bacterium. RNAcentral's name for it is "partial 16S ribosomal RNA". It matches the Rfam family "Bacterial small subunit ribosomal RNA", at positions 338 to 795 of the family's 1533-position model. The record is from RNAcentral.
CCUACGGGAGGCAGCAGUAGGGAAUAUUGCUCAAUGGGGGAAACCCUGAAGCAGCAACGCCGCGUGGAGGAUGAAGGUUUUCGGAUUUUAAACUCCUUUUGUUAGAGAGGAUAAUGACGGUAUCUAACGAAUAAGCACCGGCUAACUCCGUGCCAGCAGCCGCGGUAAUACGGAGGGUGCAAGCGUUACUCGGAAUCACGGGGCGUAAAGAGCGCGUAGGCGGGAUAGCAAGUCAGAUGUGAAAUCCUAUGGCUUAACCAUAGAACUGCAUUUGAAACUGUUAUUCUAGAGUAUGGGAGAGGUAGGUGGAAUUCUUGGUGUAGGGGUAAAAUCCGUAGAGAUCAAGAGGAAUACUCAUUGCGAAGGCGACCUGCUAGAACAUAACUGACGCUGAUGCGCGAAAGCGUGGGGAGCAAACAGGAUUAGAUACCCCUGUAGUC